RNAcentral lists this ribosomal RNA (502 nucleotides) under uncultured marine eukaryote. RNAcentral's name for it is "SSU rRNA". It matches the Rfam family "Eukaryotic small subunit ribosomal RNA", at positions 611 to 1116 of the family's 1831-position model. The record is from RNAcentral.
UGUUGCGGUUAAAAAGCUCGUAGUUGGAUUUCUGUCGGUGAGUAGCGGUCCGCCCUCAGUGGUUGGUACUUGCUACGCCCCCGGCAUCUUCCUGGGGACUGUGUCUGCUCUUCGCUGAGUGGUGCAUGAUCCAGGACUUUUACUUUGAAGAAAUGAGAGUGUUUCAAGCAGGCAUGCGCCCUGAAUACGUUAGCAUGGAAUAAUAGCAUCGGACCUCGUUCCAAAGCUGUUGGUUUCUUGGACCGAGGUAAAGGUGAAUAGGGAUUGUUGGGGGCAUUUGUAUUUAACUGUCAGAGGUGAGAUUCUUGGAUUUGUUGAAGACGGACUACUGCGAAAGCAUCUGCCAAAGAUGUUCUCAUUGAUCAAGAACGAAAGUUAGGUGAUCGAAGACGAUCAGAUACCGUCCUAGUCUUAACCAUAAACUAUGCCGACUGGAGAUCGGGGGUCGUUAACUUUGUGACGCCCUCUGCAUCUUGAGAGAAAUCAAAGUCUUUGGGUUCCG